Ribosomal RNA from Prolemur simus (greater bamboo lemur), 131 nucleotides. The record is from Ensembl. NCBI's taxonomy places the organism in Eukaryota, Metazoa, Chordata, Mammalia, Primates, Lemuridae.
GUCUACGGCCAUAUCACCCCGAAAGUGCCCGAUCUGGUCUGAUCGCAGAAGCUAAGCGGGGUCGGGCCUGGUUAAUGUUUGGAUGAGAGGAAGGGGCUUCACAAAGCAAGAGUGCCUAGGGCCUAUGGACA